RNAcentral lists this transfer RNA (93 nucleotides) under Actinocatenispora comari. RNAcentral's name for it is "tRNA-Ala". Lineage: Bacteria; Bacillati; Actinomycetota; Actinomycetes; Micromonosporales; Micromonosporaceae. The record is from RNAcentral.
GCCGCACCUCGCCGGGUCGGGCGGUCGCGUCGGCGCCGCGGUACUGGGUGGCCUCGCGGGUCAACCGCAGGUACGCGUCCUCCAGCGUGGCGC